Molecule: unclassified non-coding RNA, 203 nt
Filed under: Hevea brasiliensis (rubber tree)
Lineage: Eukaryota; Viridiplantae; Streptophyta; Magnoliopsida; Malpighiales; Euphorbiaceae
Source: RNAcentral
GCCCAAUGGAACUACAUAUGGAUUAGCUAUGGAGGUAAUGUUGCAUUCUGGCAAGUACAACCUUGUCCAUGAGUUAUUUAGGAAAAUGAACCGAAGUGGAGAAGCUCCGAAAGCACUUACAUAUAAAGUUCUUAUCAGAGCUUUUUGGGAGGAAGGUAAAGUCAAUGAAGCAGUGGAAGUAGUGAGAGAUAUGGAACAAAGAG